GACGAACGCUGGCGGCGUGCUUAACACAUGCAAGUCGAACGGAGCUUCUUGGAUAGAGACUUCGGUCAAUUGAAUUGAAGCUUAGUGGCGGACUGGUGAGUAACGCGUGAGGAACCUGCCUUUCAGAGGGGGACAACAGUUGGAAACGACUGCUAAUACCGCAUAACAUAUUCGGGGGACAUCCCCUGAAUAUCAAAGCUUUAUGUGCUGAGAGAUGGCCUCGCGUCUGAUUAGCUAGUUGGUGGGGUAACGGCCCACCAAGGCGACGAUCAGUAGCCGACCUGAGAGGGUGACCGGCCACAUUGGGACUGAGACACGGCCCAAACUCCUACGGGAGGCAGCAGUGGGGAAUAUUGCACAAUGGGGGAAACCCUGAUGCAGCGACGCCGCGUGAGUGAAGAAGUAUUUCGGUAUGUAAAGCUCUAUCAGCAGGGAAGAAAAUGACGGUACCUGACUAAGAAGCCCCGGCUAACUACGUGCCAGCAGCCG
Molecule: ribosomal RNA, 489 nt
Filed under: uncultured bacterium
Lineage: Bacteria
Description: bacterial SSU rRNA
Rfam family: Bacterial small subunit ribosomal RNA
Source: RNAcentral